Molecule: ribosomal RNA, 226 nt
Filed under: uncultured bacterium
Lineage: Bacteria
Description: partial 16S ribosomal RNA
Rfam family: Bacterial small subunit ribosomal RNA
Source: RNAcentral
CGUAACGCGUAUGCAAUCUACCUUUAACUGGGGGAAUAGCCCAAAGAAAUUUGGAUUAAUACCGCAUAAUACUAUUGAAUGGCAUCAUUCGAUACUCAAAACUACGGUGGUUAAAGAUGAGCAUGCGUGACAUUAGCUAGUUGGUAAGGUAAUGGCUUACCAAGGCUUCGAUGUCUAGGGGGUCUGAGAGGAUGAUCCCCCACACUGGUACUGAGACACGGACCAG